Long non-coding RNA from Bos taurus (domestic cattle), 1134 nucleotides. NCBI's taxonomy places the organism in Eukaryota, Metazoa, Chordata, Mammalia, Artiodactyla, Bovidae. The record is from Ensembl.
GACACAGGCUGAACUAUUUACAGAUAAAAUGGUACAACUUAAGUUUGCUUCAAAAUAACCCAAUAAAGGAGCACGGGUCAACGUAGAGUUGCCACAAGAUGGCCCUGUGUUAAUGGUCAUUAUAACUUGGUGAGGGGUAUAUGGCAGUUCACGUUACUAGUUUGCGGUGGUUUUAUGUAUGUUAGAAAUUUUCCAUAAUAAACGUUUUGUUUUGUUAUGUUUUGUUUAAUUUUAUUUAUUUUUUUAAAGCACAGAUUUUUAGCCCAAGACAGAUCUAGGUUCAAAUCCCUUCCUGCUAUUUUUUUGGCUGGGCAAUCUUGCAUUUAAUGCUUCUGAGUCCAGUCUCCAAUUCCUAAAACAUUUGUAAGAAUAAUUCCAGGCUCACAAAUUUGUUGCAAGUACAUAAAGCCCUUAGGGCAAAGCCUAGAACAUGGUUGGCAAUCAGUAAUGCUACUGUGAGUCUCCUUGAGCCUAACCCUCUAGUUAUACCAACUCUUAGGAACAACCUGUAAUCAUGGUAUGGUUGCAAGCAGAUGGCUGGCCCACUGUCUUGACCGCAGGGUCCGUCACAGCUUUGGCAGAUGGAAUGGAACUGGGGAUCAAAUUAUAGGUUUCAGACCCUUUACUAAAACUCCUGGGGGGCAUUUCUUUUACAGCAUUUUUAUUCUUUAUAAAUUUUUCAAAACUGAAGCAUAGUUGAUUUGAAAUAUUAUGUGAGUUUCAGAUGUGCAGUGUAGUAGUUUAUUAUUCUUUGAUGUUGAAAAUGGCCAUGAGAGGAGAGAAGAGGCGGUGGGAGGGGUUUGAUGAUGCCACUUUUCUUGGCUGUCAGUGUUCCUGGGUUCACAGCUCUGCUGUCACUGGGAGGGGUCAGACCGGGAAAGCAGACCCUGAGAUGUACAUGGUCAAAGUUGAGGGAGGUCCCGUCUGCAGAUCCUUCUUUCCAGGACAGUUGCCUGUCCUCCCUUUCAUCUGUUCACAGGCAGCUAGCAUUUCACAGGUUGUCCAGGGACUUGGGGUUCUUGAGAACCUGUCAGUGGAGCAGGGAGUUGAUUAUCCUUUCAGCGGAGGGAGGCUUUACCGUGAAUGGCAAUUCAGGCAUUUGCAGCAGCUGUGACCCCACAGCCACAUGAGGGA